Molecule: signal recognition particle RNA, 96 nt
Filed under: Gammaproteobacteria bacterium
Lineage: Bacteria; Pseudomonadati; Pseudomonadota; Gammaproteobacteria
Description: signal recognition particle sRNA small type
Rfam family: Bacterial small signal recognition particle RNA
About the family: The signal recognition particle (SRP) is a universally conserved ribonucleoprotein involved in the co-translational targeting of proteins to membranes.
Source: RNAcentral
UGCUGGUCUCCCCGCGGCGCGAAAUUGUGAACCCGUCAGGCCCGGAAGGGAGCAGCGGCAGCAGUGGAUGCGGGUGCCGGGAUCGGAACAGUAUGG